UACGUAGGCAGCGAGCGUUGUUCGGAGUUACUGGGCGUAAAGGGUGUGUAGGCGGUUCUUUAAGUUUGGUGUGAAAUCUCCCGGCUCAACCGGGAGGGUGCGCCGAAUACUGAGGGACUUCGAGUGCGGGAGAGGAAGGUGGAAUUCCUGGUGUAGCGGUGAAAUGCGUAGAUAUCAGGAGGAUCACCGGUGGUGUAGACGGCUUUCUGGACCGUAACUGACGCUGAGACACGAAAGCGUGGGUAGCAAACAGG
RNAcentral lists this ribosomal RNA (254 nucleotides) under uncultured bacterium. RNAcentral describes it as "partial 16S ribosomal RNA". It matches the Rfam family "Bacterial small subunit ribosomal RNA", at positions 524 to 776 of the family's 1533-position model. The record is from RNAcentral.